UACGUAGGCAGCGAGCGUUGUUCGGAAUUACUGGGCGUAAAGAGUGUGUAGGCGGUGUUCCAAGUCUGGUGUGAAAUCUCCCGGCUCAACUGGGAGGGUGCGCCGGAAACUGGGAUGCUAGAGGAUGGGAGAGGUAAGCGGAAUUCCUGGUGUAGCGGUGAAAUGCGUAGAUAUCAGGAGGAACACCUGUGGUGUAGACAGCUUACUGGACCAUUUCUGACGCUGAGACACGAAAGCGUGGGUAGCAAACAGG
Molecule: ribosomal RNA, 253 nt
Filed under: uncultured bacterium
Lineage: Bacteria
Description: partial 16S ribosomal RNA
Rfam family: Bacterial small subunit ribosomal RNA
Source: RNAcentral